This 61-nucleotide microRNA precursor is filed under the name Strongyloides ratti. RNAcentral's name for it is "microRNA str-mir-7880b precursor (str-mir-7880b-1)". Lineage: Eukaryota; Metazoa; Nematoda; Chromadorea; Rhabditida; Strongyloididae. The record is from miRBase by way of RNAcentral.
UGGCUUGGAUCUUUCUGCAAACAUGUUUCAAAUACAUUUUUGCGACCGAAUCCAGGCCACG